UACGUAGGGAGCAAGCGUUGUCCGGAAUUCAUUGGGCGUAAAGCGCGCGUAGGUGGCUUCGUAAGUCCGUUGUGAAAGUCAAAGGCUCAACCUUUGAAAGCCGAUGGAUACUGUGGAGCUAGAGUACGGAAGAGGCGAGUGGAAUUCCUGGUGUAGCGGUGAAAUGGCGCAGAUAUCAGGAAGAACACCCGGUGGCUAAGGCGGCUCUCUAGUACGGUACUGACGCUGAGACGCGAAAGCGUGGGGAGCGAACAGG
RNAcentral lists this ribosomal RNA (256 nucleotides) under uncultured bacterium. RNAcentral's name for it is "partial 16S ribosomal RNA". It matches the Rfam family "Bacterial small subunit ribosomal RNA", at positions 524 to 776 of the family's 1533-position model. The record is from RNAcentral.